RNAcentral lists this ribosomal RNA (250 nucleotides) under Musca domestica (house fly). RNAcentral's name for it is "partial 16S ribosomal RNA". Lineage: Eukaryota; Metazoa; Arthropoda; Insecta; Diptera; Muscidae. The record is from RNAcentral.
UUCUUAAAUUUAUUAUAGAAUUUUAUAUUUUAGUUAAAAAGCUAAAAUAAAUUUAAAAGACGAGAAGACCCUAUAAAUCUUUAUAUUUAUAUUUUUAUAAUUUUUUAGUAAUAUUUUAUAAUAAAAAUUUAUAUUAUUUUAUUGGGGUGAUAUUAAAAUUUAUUUAACUUUUAAUUAAUAAUUACAUUAAUUUAUGAAUUAUUGAUCCAUUAAUAAUGAUUAAAAAUUUAAGUUACCUUAGGGAUAACAG